RNAcentral lists this ribosomal RNA (493 nucleotides) under Stenotrophomonas sp. Its description in RNAcentral is "bacterial SSU rRNA". It matches the Rfam family "Bacterial small subunit ribosomal RNA", at positions 271 to 761 of the family's 1533-position model. The record is from RNAcentral. Lineage: Bacteria; Pseudomonadati; Pseudomonadota; Gammaproteobacteria; Lysobacterales; Lysobacteraceae.
AGGCGACGAUCCCUAGCUGGUCUGAGAGGAUGACCAGCCACACUGGAACUGAGACACGGUCCAGACUCCUACGGGAGGCAGCAGUGGGGAAUAUUGCACAAUGGGCGCAAGCCUGAUGCAGCCAUGCCGCGUGUAUGAAGAAGGCCUUCGGGUUGUAAAGUACUUUCAGCGGGGAGGAAGGGAGUAAAGUUAAUACCUUUGCUCAUUGACGUUACCCGCAGAAGAAGCACCGGCUAACUCCGUGCCAGCAGCCGCGGUAAUACGGAGGGUGCAAGCGUUAAUCGGAAUUACUGGGCGUAAAGCGCACGCAGGCGGUUUGUUAAGUCAGAUGUGAAAUCCCCGGGCUCAACCUGGGAACUGCAUCUGAUACUGGCAAGCUUGAGUCUCGUAGAGGGGGGUAGAAUUCCAGGUGUAGCGGUGAAAUGCGUAGAGAUCUGGAGGAAUACCGGUGGCGAAGGCGGCCCCCUGACGAAGACUGACGUCAGUCAAAGCG